GACGGGGGAUGCAAGUGUUAUCCGGAAUCACUGGGCGUAAAGAGCUCGUAGGCGGUCUGUCGCGUCUGCCGUGAAAACCCGAGGCUUAACCUCGUGGCUUGCGGUGGAUACGGGCAGACUAGAGGUAGGUAGGGGAGAAUGGAAUUCCCGGUGUAGCGGUGAAAUGCGCAGAUAUCGGGAGGAACACCGGUGGCGAAGGCGGUUCUCUGGGCCUUACCUGACGCUGAGGAGCGAAAGCGUGGGGAGCGAACAGG
Molecule: ribosomal RNA, 254 nt
Filed under: uncultured bacterium
Lineage: Bacteria
Description: partial 16S ribosomal RNA
Rfam family: Bacterial small subunit ribosomal RNA
Source: RNAcentral